This 305-nucleotide ribosomal RNA is filed under the name uncultured bacterium. Its description in RNAcentral is "bacterial SSU rRNA". It matches the Rfam family "Bacterial small subunit ribosomal RNA", at positions 338 to 640 of the family's 1533-position model. The record is from RNAcentral.
CCUACGGGAGGCAGCAGUGAGGAAUAUUGGUCAAUGGCCGAGAGGCUGAACCAGCCAAGUCGCGUGAGGGAUGACGGCCCUACGGGUUGUAAACCUCUUUUGUCGGGGAGCAAGACCCGCCUCGUGCAGGCGGAGCGAGAGUACCCGAAGAAAAAGCAUCGGCUAACUCCGUGCCAGCAGCCGCGGUAAUACGGAGGAUGCGAGCGUUAUCCGGAUUUAUUGGGUUUAAAGGGUGCGUAGGCGGAAUGCCAAGUCAGCGGUAAAAUCGCGGGGCUCAACCUCGCUCCGCCGUUGAAACUGGCGUU